Rattus rattus (black rat) is the source of this 1145-nucleotide long non-coding RNA. RefSeq lists it as uncharacterized. NCBI's taxonomy places the organism in Eukaryota, Metazoa, Chordata, Mammalia, Rodentia, Muridae. The record is from RefSeq and is a predicted model, not a curated record. The transcript is spliced from 2 exons.
UCAAGAAUUCCACUCUAGAAUGCAGUAAGGGGAAAGUAGUAGGCUCAGCCACGGGCAUGGUCACUGGAGAAAGUAUGCACUGCUUUGAGAACCCGCUCUGUCAGGAGACACUUUUCUUCUUCCGGAAUUCAAGCUACUUCAAUUCGGGAGUAGCAAAGAACCUCACCUGGUGUUCAUCCAUGAGGGCCCCAAACGCUCUGUGACCUGGCCUAGAAUGUGGUCCUUACCCAUCAUCGGCCUGGGCGAGACCUCGGAACGUGCCUUCCCCGCCUGGGCAGUAUCUCUGGCUCUGGAAUGUACCCUCCUCCGCAUUAAAGUGCCUCACGGUCCUGUCCGCACAUCCCACCAAAAUCUGCCAACAGAGAAAGGAAUGAUGGGAGAAGAGCAAGACUGCAGGGCACCAGUUAGCUCCGGCCUGGCCAGUGGCUACUCACCUGGGUCUCGCCGCCUGUGCCCCAGCACAGAGCAUUCACUGCCUCCUCCCGCCGUGGCUGUCCCGACGGAGUAAAAUUUGCCGCAAGUUUCCGCUGAAGGUUCACCCCUGAGGGACGAGGACGUCAGUCACGCUGGGGUGACAAGUAAAUCCUGCACUUUCCCACAAACAACUCAGAUUCUCACCUUUCAGGAUUCCAGUCUCAGUGCCGACCCACACAUGGUUCCAGCGAGCCGAGGUAGCGGCCAUCGCAGACCAGCCUGUGGCUUGCACUUCCGGCGCGCCAGCACUACAUCAUCAGCGAGCGCCAGAUUCAGUUUGACAAGGCGGGUCUUUUCCUCUGUACCUGCACUAACCUGUCGUUUCCCUCUCUCCCUUCUUUCCUCCCCUCUUACUGCCAACCCUCAAAAAAGGCACACAUUUUUAAUGUGCACUCUGGCAGUAGAGGAAAGAGGAUCUAUGUAGGCUUCAGGAUGGCCAGGGCUGCGCUGCACAGAGAAACCCUGUCUUGAAAAUACAAAACACACACACACACACACACACACACACACACACACACCACACACCACACACCACACACCACACACACACACGCGCGUGUUUAUGGAGAACUGAAAAGGAUCAUCUCUCACUGUCUGUGAAAAGCAUAAUUUCUGAACUGCAGUGCUGUGUGGAGCCAGGACUCCAUCACUAUUAAAAGAAUUUCAGAAGU